AGUCAUCUCAUAAAUGCCUGUCUGCAUCCCGAUCCCAGCGAGAGGAUACAACUGGAGCAGAUCCUCCUCCACGACUGGUUUACGAUCUCACCAUCAGACAUGGAGGAUGAGCGCCCGGUCCUGGUCAUGCAGGAAGAGCUGAUUAGCCAGGCAUGCUAACACCAGUGGCCUCACCACCUCUCCAGUCCUUUGCUUCUUGCUAAUGUCUGGUGUCAGAGCUUGAGGCAGCAAUAUUUGCGUCUUGCGGUGUUGCUGCCAAAAAUGUAUUGUUGAAUUGAAAUAAAAUUGUGUCAAUUGAA
Molecule: non-coding RNA, 299 nt
Organism: Danio rerio (zebrafish)
Lineage: Eukaryota; Metazoa; Chordata; Actinopteri; Cypriniformes; Danionidae
Source: RefSeq, a predicted model, not a curated record